CAUCAGGAGGCUCUGGGAGGAAUCUGUUUCCAAGCUCAUUCAGAUUAUUGGUCCAAUUAGGUCAAACAGUUAGGAACCUACGUGGCUCUCCCAUCGCUCUCUUCUUCUACAACGACGAUGCUAACAUCCGUGUGUCCUAGAUGGAGAACUGCAAGAUAGAGGAGGGCUGCUUAACCCAUAUUGGAUUGUAAAAAGAAGGAAGCGACUGAAAACUGAGUGACAGGACGUGUGGAGUGUGGUAGUGACGAUGGAACACAUCAGAUUUUCCAUGUACUCCUCAACAUUUCUUAGCCAAAAUUUCCAUGCUGUGCUAAAGGGGAGAAAAAAACCCACGGCAUUGUCAGAAUUGCCGCCUUCCACUUUAUGAACCCUGAAGUAAUGGAGCUACAAGAGGUAGGAGCGGGAGCCUGGUAUUGACUGUGAAGACAUUCUGCAUCGGUUGGCUGUGAGCUGGGGUAUCGUUUUCCCUCCCAUCCUGGCACCUGGAUAAUAUUAAAUUCGAACCUUUGAUUUGAUUGAUACACCUCAGCAGCAGAACAUUUACACACUUAUGUCAUAAAAGCAAAGUGAAAUAUAUCACUGAACGCGGCCCUGCAAGGCACAUCGUCAAAAUCAAAUGACGUUAGCAUCAAUUUCACAGUUAUUUAAAAAGCAUACAAACUUGCACACACGCGCACACACAAACU
Molecule: long non-coding RNA, 686 nt
Organism: Trichechus manatus latirostris (Florida manatee)
Lineage: Eukaryota; Metazoa; Chordata; Mammalia; Sirenia; Trichechidae
Exons: 4
Source: RefSeq, a predicted model, not a curated record